UAUCUUAGAGGCAAUGUUAUUGCUAGAAAAGUUAAAUGUAAUCUAACACUAUAAUACACUAUUGUUAUUUAUUGACAUAGUUUACACACCAGACAGAAAGUAAUGAAGGGAAUUGUUCAUUCUCUUAUCUUUUCUACUGUUACUGGGUAAAUUAUGUCUCAACACAUAAUAUGUUUUUUCUGCCAAAGUAGUACCACUACUAUUCUCUCUAUCUCUCCUCUGUGUAUCCCAAUAUAUCUUGUAUUUUUCUUAGUAUGCCUUUUGAGCCUAAUGGAAAUUUGUUGCUUGGGUUGCUCAAAACCAGUGAAGGACGCCUCGUUUAGUGUUAAACCCUCCAUGCCAGCGGUGGCUACGAGUAGUUCAUAUAGGUAAAAAACUAGCUUACUUAUAUAUGAAUUGAUCUUGCUUCUCUCUUCAUAUAGUGGUCCAAAGUAGCUGCUUGUGUCUGGAAGAACAUGAUAUCCUUAGUUGGAUUGAUUUUGGGAGUUGGGUAUAUACUCGUGCUAAAUUAAAAUGAGGUAUUGGCUUUCAGAAGACCCUUUCUUCAUAAGGUUUUAGACUAUGAAGAUGAAUUCUUUGCUUUGUUGAUGCUUGUUCUUGAGACUCAUAGCUUACGGACUACAGGUUAAUCUAUAUUUUCGUUCCGAUUAUAUAUAUUUUCUUUUUCCUAUUUAUUUGCUGCAAAAUGUUCAAUUGUUCAAUGUUGAAUUAUUUUUGAAAUCGGAGUUGUAAUUUUGUUUUGGAUUGCCUACAAAGUUAUAAGAAAAUGAGUUAUUCUCACUGUUUUGAUGAAUAUGCACAUAGGGUAUUGUUGUGGGGCUUCAUAAUUUGGAUGGUGUAAUUCCUAUAAUAAGAGAAUCUUCAAGCAAUGCAGUUGCAACAUCUGGUCUAAAAAAUGCAGGCUAAGGCAGCUGAAACUGUGUCAGAAAAUAGGAAAAACUAGAUCUUAAAUGUUUGUGAAUUGAGAUUGAAAUGAAAGAAAUAGUUUGGAGUUACGAUGAACUUGUGAAGAUUCUUCAGGUGAUAGCAUCAAGGCAAUUAGUGGAACUUUUACUGUUGUAGAUCUCUUUCUGUUGCAAGAUAAUCAAAGAAAGUUUUUUGGUUUCUAUACUUUCAUAUUGGGCUUCCACUUACAUAUGGGACUUCAUCAGCUUCUUAUUUCCUUUCUCUUUUGCAAUUGGUCUUUUUAGUAUAUUUGGUCUGGAUCAGUUUAUCGGAAGGGAUUGUUUCUUGCCAACAGUCAUCAUGUUUUUGGGAUAUGGUUUAGCUGUUGCAUCGUCAACAUAUUGCCUUUCUUUCUUCUUUUCAGACCAUACUAUGGCUCAGAAUGUAGUUCUCUUGAUCAACUUUUUCUCUGGACUCAUUCUUAUGGUCAUAUCUUUCAUUAUGGGGCUUAUUAAGUCAACUGUUAGUGCAAAUUCUUUUCUCAAGAAUUUCUUCCGACUAUCUCCAGGGUUUUGCUAUGCUGAUGGGCUUGCAUCACUAGCUCUUCUGCGUCAAGGGAUGAAAGAUAAAUCUAGUGAUGCAGCUUUUGAUUGGAAUGUAACUGGUGCCUCUAUAUGCUAUCUUGGUGUUGAGGUUUAUAUCUUCUCAUUUUUUUUUAAAAAAAUUGUUUUGGAUAUCUUGCCAUUUAUAAUUUUUUAAGUUAGAAUUGAGUACGAAUUCCUUAGAAAUAUGAUAUGAUCUGACAUGGCUUUUGCACUUGUCACAUCAUUUGUUACUUCCUGUUGACACUUGGGCUUGAACUCUUGCCUUCCUACAAGGAAUGGUGGAGUAUAAAAAGUUUCCGACGUGAUGGUUAUCCUCAUUUAGAACCACUUUUGGGAUCCUCUGCAGAAAAGGUUGCUCUUGACUUCGAUGAAGACACAGAUGUGGCAAUGGAAAGAAACAGAGUACUUUCAGGUUCCGUUGAGAAUGCUAUCAUUAACUUGCGUAAUCUUUCACAGAUCAUGCCUAUAGAUGCUCAAAGAAUGCUUUAAGAGUUUGAGGGGUGUGUGCUUUUAGCUUUUGAGUUGGAGCUAGAUCAUUUUUUUUAUGUUUGUUUGCCUAAUUUAGUGUUAGUUUUUUUUUUGUUCAGUUAGUUUGGUUUGUAUUGGGGUAACUUUUUUCUGUUUUCCAUGUUGGCAACUCUGAUUCAUGGAGUUUGUUGUUGUAGUUCAUAGACAAUACAAUUCAAGCAAGGACUAUGUAAUUGAAUUUUUUAUGAUUGCUAUUGUAAUUUUUAUGUAA
Molecule: RNA transcript, 2229 nt
Organism: Cannabis sativa
Lineage: Eukaryota; Viridiplantae; Streptophyta; Magnoliopsida; Rosales; Cannabaceae
Gene name: ABC transporter A family member 1-like
Exons: 8
Source: RefSeq, a predicted model, not a curated record